This 253-nucleotide ribosomal RNA is filed under the name uncultured bacterium. RNAcentral's name for it is "partial 16S ribosomal RNA". It matches the Rfam family "Bacterial small subunit ribosomal RNA", at positions 524 to 776 of the family's 1533-position model. The record is from RNAcentral.
UACGUAGGGGGCUAGCGUUGUCCGGAAUCAUUGGGCGUAAAGCGCGUGUAGGCGGCUCGGUAAGUCUGCUCUGAAAGCCCGGGGCUCAACCCUGGGAGGCGGGUGGAUACUGCUGAGCUCGAGUCCGGAAGAGGCGAGUGGAAUUCCUGGUGUAGCGGUGAAAUGCGCAGAUAUCAGGAGGAACACCAAUGGCGAAGGCAGCUCGCUGGGACGGUACUGACGCUGAGACGCGAAAGCGUGGGGAGCAAACAGG